GACGAACGCUGGCGGCGUGCUUAACACAUGCAAGUCGAACGGAAAGGCCCUGCUUUUGUGGGGUGCUCGAGUGGCGAACGGGUGAGUAACACGUGAGUAACCUGCCCUUGACUUUGGGAUAAUUUCAGGAAACUGGGGCUAAUACCGCAUAGGAGCUCCUGCUGCAUGGUGGGGGUUGGAAAGUUUCUGCGGUUGGGGAUGUACUCGCGGCUUAUCAGCUUGUUGGUGGGGUAGUGGCUUACCAAGGCUUUGACGGGUAGCCGGCCUGAGAGGGUGACCGGCAACAUUGGGACUAAGAUACGGCCCAGACUCCUACGGGAGGCAGCAGUGGGGAGUAUUGCACAAUGGGCGGAAGCCGGAUGAAGCAACGACGCGUGCGGGAUGACGGACUUCGGGGUGUAAACCGCUUUAGCCUGUGACGAAGCGAGAGUGACGGUAAUGGGUAAAGAAGCACCGGCUAACUACGUG
This 468-nucleotide ribosomal RNA is filed under the name uncultured bacterium. RNAcentral's name for it is "partial 16S ribosomal RNA". It matches the Rfam family "Bacterial small subunit ribosomal RNA", at positions 28 to 507 of the family's 1533-position model. The record is from RNAcentral.